This 59-nucleotide transfer RNA is filed under the name Aspiculuris sp. PC-2022. RNAcentral's name for it is "tRNA-Phe". Lineage: Eukaryota; Metazoa; Nematoda; Chromadorea; Rhabditida; Heteroxynematidae. The record is from RNAcentral.
GUUCUGUUAGUUUAUGGUUUAAAAUGUGAUUUUGAAGAGAUUGAGAAUUAGUUGGGACG